UUUUGAUGGCGACCGGCGCACGGGUGAGUAACACGUAUCCAACCUGCCUCAUACUCGGGGAUAGCCUUUCGAAAGAAAGAUUAAUACCCGAUGUCAUAGUCCUACCGCAUGAUGGGAUUAUUAAAGAAUUUCGGUAUGGGAUGGGGAUGCGUUCCAUUAGUUAGUUGGCGGGUAACGGCCCACCAAGACAACGAUGGAUAGGGGUUCUGAGAGGAAGGUCCCCCACAUUGGAACUGAGACACGGUCCAAACUCCUACGGAAGGCAGCAG
Molecule: ribosomal RNA, 269 nt
Filed under: uncultured bacterium
Lineage: Bacteria
Description: partial 16S ribosomal RNA
Rfam family: Bacterial small subunit ribosomal RNA
Source: RNAcentral